This 1571-nucleotide long non-coding RNA is filed under the name Mytilus galloprovincialis (Mediterranean mussel). The record is from RNAcentral. Lineage: Eukaryota; Metazoa; Mollusca; Bivalvia; Mytilida; Mytilidae.
AAAAAUGUUUUCCUUAAAAACUCCUACACGUUAUUUUUCUCAGACAUUGUUCUUAUAAUGCCCUGUAAGCUUUAUAGUAUAAAAUAUUUCUUCAAUGACAUAUUUUUCUUUUUAUUCAAGCUUAUAUUAACGAUACGGAAACACUUUUUGUAACCCUCAUUUAUUUACAUAUUGUUUGUAUUCUACAUUUCUGAGUAAUUGUUUACAUUCAAUUUAUGAAUCAUAGAUAUUUCAAUUUUUUUGAAGUAAAGUUUUAUUCUGAUGUUAAUAAAGAAAAUCAUAAAAAUAAUAAAUGAAAUGUAAGAUAUUAUCAUUUUAUGUACGUAUGACCUGAGAAUAUUGUCUAGAUACAUCAUCAGCAUACGAUGGCAUGAUGGGAAGUAAACUGAUAAAGUUUAGAACAAGAGCAGGUAAUAAUUUAAGAGUUAUAAUAGCUUACUGUUGGUUGAAACUCGCUUUAUGCUACCUAUCUUCGGAAAGGAUAGUUUAUUCCGUAAAAAGGUGUUAUUUGUACAUAACUUUCUCCACUUACUUCCUCUACCAAAUACUUUGUAGGGAUAUACAUUUUGAUUUUAAUAUUUACUCACUAUAUAGCGAAGGUAUCGUCUAAGUGAAAUAAAAAUGCACCUGACGUAUUUUUUCUUGAUUAAAAAUGUUAACAUUUUAAGGAACGCUCAAAGCUGAAAACUUGAAAGCCUCAGGUGUUUGAAAACCUAAACAGUUAAAGAGCUUGUGACCAUAGUUUACCAAAUUCCUUAAUAAUAUGCGCUUACAUUAACUAAUAAAAAACAAACAUUGUGAUCUCAUGAAUAGUAUUUGCAUAAGGGGAACGAGGCAACCAUUUAUGUUGUUCCUCUGUAUACGCUUUUUUCUACUGUACCCACGUAACUUCUCUUUGUGUCACAAUCUACUCACAUCUAAUGCAACAGUACAUUAUAAGAUAUAAGUGCACUGUUAUGAGAACUACUGCCAUUUUUUCAGGUUUGUCAAGGGAAAAUGUGAUUGAACAAAGAAAUUGAAAAUUUCGCACAUUAUCACCAUGCCUCAACAGAUAACUUAUAAACAAGAAGAUGUGGUAUGAUUGCCAAUUAGACAACUAUCCACAAAAGACCAAAAUAACACAGACAUUAACAACUAUAGGUCACCGUACGGCCUUCAACAAUUAGCAAAGCCCAUACCGCAUAGCCAGCUAUCAAAGGCCCCGAUAAGACAAUGUAAAACAAUUCAAACGAGAAAACUAACGGCCUUAUUUAUGUAAAAAAAUGAACGAAAAACAAAUGUUGUUGAUUUUAAAUAGAAUACCGUUACGUUUAUAGUUAUGUUUUUAUAACUCUAAAGUAAUGGACACAACAGCACAAGACAUAUUGCAAUAUAAAGUAUACCUAUAUUCACCAUGUUUUUGUUUUCACGAUUUUGGAAUGGUAAAUUAAUUUGGUAUAACGCAUAUUUAUAUUUUUUCUACCAUUUUGUUUUGUCAGUACUAGUCCCCACAAAAAAUGCAAGAACAGAAUGCAAGCAUGUUUAAAUGGUUGAGGAGCAUACCCUAGCAACGUUGUAUAAACUACAAGAAC